GCUGAACCAGACUGUUGGUGUAUUUGUGUUUUUGGGAAGGAAGGAUUCUGAUAAGGUUGCUCGGAUAAUCAACCGAUCUGUUUUUGAUUGUAUAGACCGCUUGCCUUUGAGUAUCUUGACUUCUCUCCUUGCCACCCCUUCAUCUCUGGUAUCCGAGCAUGGAUCUCGUUGCCUUUCAUGGACGUUGAGGAUAUCAAUGUCGGGUCCAUCGACGUAUUCGGGAUUCAGCUGGAUUUCUGUGAUGUUGCCAACACGAAGGAAGAGGCAUUGUGGCUUCUAGGCAUGCUUGAUUGGAAAUGAAAGGAAUCAGAUAUCUAUACCAGAUUGCUUCGGUCGGAAUGCAAACUCGUAGGCUAUAUGCAGGGCCAAGAGCAUUAGGGAAUGCGGCGGUACUUGACCGGGACAACACCGGCCUUGUACUGGGCGAUCUUGAGGAACAUAGGUUCGGAAAGGUCGAAGUGGCGCU
Molecule: long non-coding RNA, 466 nt
Organism: Tarenaya hassleriana
Lineage: Eukaryota; Viridiplantae; Streptophyta; Magnoliopsida; Brassicales; Cleomaceae
Exons: 3
Source: RefSeq, a predicted model, not a curated record